Molecule: ribosomal RNA, 253 nt
Filed under: uncultured bacterium
Lineage: Bacteria
Description: partial 16S ribosomal RNA
Rfam family: Bacterial small subunit ribosomal RNA
Source: RNAcentral
UACGUAGGGUGCGAGCGUUGCCCGGAUUUAUUGGGCGUAAAGGGCGCGUAGGCGGCUCGGCACGUCCGUUGUGAAAUCGCCCGGCUCAACCGGGCGGGGUCGGCGGAUACGGCCGAGCUGGAGCAAGCUAGGGGGUAAUGGAAUUCCCGGUGUAGUGGUGGAAUGCGUAGAUAUCGGGAGGAACACCAGUGGCGAAGGCGGUUACCUGGAGCUUUGCUGACGCUGAUGCGCGAAAGCGUGGGGAGCAAACAGG